This 468-nucleotide ribosomal RNA is filed under the name uncultured bacterium. Its description in RNAcentral is "partial 16S ribosomal RNA". It matches the Rfam family "Bacterial small subunit ribosomal RNA", at positions 28 to 507 of the family's 1533-position model. The record is from RNAcentral.
GACGAACGCUGGCGGCGUGCUUAACACAUGCAAGUCGAACGGAAAGGCCCUGCUUUUGUGGGGUGCUCGAGUGGCGAACGGGUGAGUAACACGUGAGUAACCUGCCCUUGACUUUGGGAUAACUUCAGGAAACUGGGGCUAAUACCGGAUAGGAGCUCCUGCUGCAUGGUGGGGGUUGGAAAGUUUCGGCGGUUGGGGAUGGACUCGCGGCUUAUCAGCUUGUUGGUGAGGUAGUGGCUUACCAAGGCUUUGACGGGUAGCCGGCCUGAGAGGGUGACCGGCCACAUUGGGACUGAGAUACGGCCCAGACUCGUACGGGAGGCAGCAGUGGGGAGUAUUGCAGAAUGGGCGGAAGCCUGAUGCAGCAACGCCGGGUGCGGGAUGACGGCCUUCGGGUUGUAAACCGCUUUCGCAUGUGACGAAGCGUGAGUGACGGUAAUGGGUAAAGAAGCACCGGCUAACUACGUG